AGCGAACGUUAGCGGCGGGCUUAACACAUGCAAGUCGAACGAGAAAGCGUCCUUCGGGCGUGAGUAGAGUGGCGCACGGGUGAGUAACACGUGGGUAAUCUGCCCUUCGGUGGGGGACGAACAGCUCGAAAGGGCUGCUAAUACCGCAUACGUCGGUGACGGCCUCGGCUGUUACCGGGAAAGGUGGGGAUCGUAAGACCUAUCGCCGAAGGAGGAGCCCGCGGCCCAUCAUGCUUGUUGGUGAGGUAAAAGCUCACCAAGGCCAAGACGGGUAGCUGGUCUGAGAGGAUGAUCAGCCACACUGGGACUGAGACACGGCCCAGACUCCUACGGGAGGCAG
Molecule: ribosomal RNA, 340 nt
Filed under: uncultured Pseudomonadota bacterium
Lineage: Bacteria; Pseudomonadati; Pseudomonadota
Description: bacterial SSU rRNA
Rfam family: Bacterial small subunit ribosomal RNA
Source: RNAcentral